GGCCAAGUCCCAGGCCCCUGUAAUUUGAAAUUUGUGAUGUAGGGUGGAGUUGGGGUCUAGAACAUAUUCCUAGAUCAACACAAGAUGUCUGGAGCUGUGAAGUUAUCCUGCAGCGCUUUGAGUUUUUUCUUAGCUUUCUAAGCAUUUUAUUAUUUGCUGCCCAAUGUGGGGUUCAGAAGAGUUAGGAAAACCUAUGCUAAUUAUGUUGUAUUGGUACUUACUGUGUGUUGGGAUAAAGGACUUUGUAAUGGCCGAGAGCCGCAGCCAGGGUAAGGGGGUUCCCCCAAGAAGGAAAUAGAGCCGGCCAGCAGCAGUCAAGGUGAAGCGGGCAAGGCGGUCCAGUCGCGUUUCGUCGAGACCCCGUCAACCAGCCGGCCGGCACGCCUGCUUCGCCGCUCCCGUGAGCCCUGCGGAAGCGUUACAGGGACCGCGUGACGGAGCCUUUUCCACGUAAAGGGGCCGUGGGGGUGGCCUUCAGGAACGGGCCGAGGGCUUCCCGUGAGUUGGGGAUGUCAGGA
Molecule: long non-coding RNA, 518 nt
Filed under: Cyanistes caeruleus (blue tit)
Lineage: Eukaryota; Metazoa; Chordata; Aves; Passeriformes; Paridae
Description: lncRNA (ENSCCEG00000006822.1)
Source: RNAcentral